AUUGAACGCUGGCGGCAUGCCUUACACAUGCAAGUCGAACGGCAGCACGGGGCAACCUGGUGGCGAGUGGCGAACGGGUGAGUAAUGCAUCGGAACGUGCCAUUGAGUGGGGGAUAACGUAGCGAAAGUUGCGCUAAUACCGCAUAUUCUGUGAGCAGGAAAGCAGGGGACCGCAAGGCCUUGCGCUCUUUGAGCGGCCGAUGUCAGAUUAGCUAGUUGGUGAGGUAAAGGCUUACCAAGGCGACGAUCUGUAGCGGGUCUGAGAGGAUGAUCCGCCACACUGGAACUGAGACACGGUCCAGACUCCUACGGGAGGCAGCAGUGGGGAAUUUUGGACAAUGGGGGCAACCCUGAUCCAGCCAUGCCGCGUGAGUGAAGAAGGCCUUCGGUUGGUUAAAGACGUCUUUCGGUCCGGGAACGGAAA
This 424-nucleotide ribosomal RNA is filed under the name uncultured bacterium. Its description in RNAcentral is "bacterial SSU rRNA". It matches the Rfam family "Bacterial small subunit ribosomal RNA", at positions 30 to 452 of the family's 1533-position model. The record is from RNAcentral.